CCUCUUUGGUAUCUUCUGGUGAGCUCAACCCAAGGGUAAGCUCUUCCACUUAUUCUCUUUUGUGAUCGUUGUCUGCUCUGCCUUACUCUCAUUGAUUGUAUUGCGAUUGUAACAUCUUGAUUAUACAAAAUUAUAACAUCUUGGUUAUACACUAGGAAUGUCUGAGAGAU
Molecule: long non-coding RNA, 170 nt
Organism: Centrocercus urophasianus (Greater sage-grouse)
Lineage: Eukaryota; Metazoa; Chordata; Aves; Galliformes; Phasianidae
Exons: 3
Source: RefSeq, a predicted model, not a curated record